RNAcentral lists this unclassified non-coding RNA (640 nucleotides) under Hevea brasiliensis (rubber tree). The record is from RNAcentral. Lineage: Eukaryota; Viridiplantae; Streptophyta; Magnoliopsida; Malpighiales; Euphorbiaceae.
GUGCUGCAUCAAGUUUUUUCUCCUCAUGGAUUUGUGGAGAAGAUCGUCACAUUUCAGAAGUCGGCUGGUUUUCAAGCCCUUAUCCAGUAUCAGUUACGGCAGAGUGCUGUUGCAGCUAGGACUUCUCUUCAGGGACGCAACAUUUAUGACGGUUGCUGUCAGCUGGACAUUCAGUUUUCAAACUUGGAUGAGUUGCAAGUGAACUACAAUAAUGAUCGAUCAAGGGAUUUCACUAAUCCAAAUCUACCUUCUGAACAGAAAGGCAGAUCUUCACAACCGCUUCACAAGCUGGAUAUGGUGAUGUAGGAGUUGCAUAUCCACAGAUGGCCAAUGCAACUGCAAUUGCUGCUGCCUUUGGUGGAGGCUUGCCUCCUGGAAUUAGUGGGACAAAUGAUAGGUGUACAGUGCUUGUAUCAAAUUUAAAUCCCGAUCGAGUGGAUGAGGAUAAGCUUUUUAACCUGUUUUCUCUCUACGGAAACAUUGUGAGGAUUAAGUUUCUCCGCAAUAAACCAGAUCAUGCACUUGUUCAGAUGGGGGAUGGUUUUCAGGCUGAAUUAGCAGUGCAUUUUUUGAAGGGCGCUAUGCUUUUUGGUAAGCGAUUGGAAGUCAAUUUUUCAAAGCAUCCAAACAUAACUCAAGG